This 472-nucleotide long non-coding RNA is filed under the name Ananas comosus (pineapple). Its description in RNAcentral is "long non-coding RNA (ACOM_LNC022444)". The record is from RNAcentral. Lineage: Eukaryota; Viridiplantae; Streptophyta; Magnoliopsida; Poales; Bromeliaceae.
UACUAACUAGUAAUUAUUAAUAUAUAUAUAUAUAUAUAGAAUUGAGCUUCUAUAUUUUUAAAAGUACCAAGUUAUUAGUGCUUGUAAGUUUUCAACACUUGAAUUAAGAUAUGCAGUUAGGAUGGUUGGUUGAAUAGUAUAAUCUAACGAAUAAAAAUAAUCAAAAGUAGAGAUCUAACGGUAAAAAAAUUACAAGCACCGAGUGCUUGGUAUAUAUAUAAUUGAGCUAGAAUACUUUUACAAGUAUUACCUCCAUGAUGCUAUUAGGUUUUUAGCCAUUGGAUCUAACUCCUUGAUUAUUAAUAGUCCUUGGAUCAAACACUAUUCCACCUACCACUACCUACCACCACCUACCACCAUCAUCUCAACCUCACAUCUUUCCAUCAAAUGGCUAAAAACUCAAAAGCACCAUUCAUAUAAUACUUUUACAAGUAUUUUAGCUCAACUCUCUCUCUCUCUCUAUAUAUAUAUA